RNAcentral lists this long non-coding RNA (422 nucleotides) under Carica papaya (papaya). RNAcentral's name for it is "long non-coding RNA (CPAP_LNC006703)". The record is from RNAcentral. Lineage: Eukaryota; Viridiplantae; Streptophyta; Magnoliopsida; Brassicales; Caricaceae.
GCCCGUCACUCCGCCAGGUACUUACGUUAUCCAGAUCCCCAAGGAUCAGGUCUACCGCGUCCCUCCGCCGGAAAAUGCUCGUCGUUACCAGCAGCUCACUGGCCGGAAGGCUCGCCGGAGCCGUUGUUGCUGUUGCCUCUGUACUUUCCUCGCUAUCAUCCUUGUCCUGAUCGUCCUCGCCGGAAUCGCAGCCGGCGUACUCUACCUCGUUUUCCGACCAGAGGCACCCGACUACUCCGUCGAAAGCCUCUCCAUCAAGGGAUUCAACCUGACGGCACUGUCCCCAAUCUCGCCGGAAUUUGACGUCACUGUGAGAGCCCGGAAUCCUAACGACAAAAUCGGUAUAUUCUACGAGAAAGGUAGCUCUGUCGACGUUUUCCACCACGACGUGAGGCUUGGAACCGGCGCACUGCCGGUGUUUU